CAGCCACCACGUCUGGCCUCAGCACCCCCAAAUUCCGUGCCUGCUGCCCCUGCCCUCUGCCUCCUCUUUGCCCCCAGAAGCCUAAAUCUGGUGGUGUAAACAUGAGGUGGAAAGCUGAGGCUGUGAGUGGUCAUAGCCCCGGCAGUCAGGCCGGUUUAGGCAGUGAGUGACCCGCAGGGCUGUGGAGCUGCUUGGAAGGUUUCUGCCAUGCCUGAGGCAGAGUCGUGCCUGACCCAUCUCCAUAGUCGGGAGGAGGUUUCCACAUCUCCUUCUGAGUGCAUGCAAGGCUGGAAGUUCAGCAGGACUGGUACGUUUGUAAACAGGUGAAUAAGGAUUGCAGUGGGCACUCCAAGAGGAGUGUGGAGUGCACUCUAAAACUGAACUUCGACAGAGAACGUUGUUUCUUUGUGCCAUCUGCAGAAGAUGGCCCCAGAGCUGUGCUGGAUCCGUGUCAGCUCAGCACACGAGGGCUGACUGAGCAUGACACCCGUAACACGGGCAAGUCCAAGGCUGCCUGGCAAAGCAGCCCUGUUCUCCAGGCCGUGAAUUGAGAACAUCCACGACAUCACCAAUUUUCCAAUCUGAUGAAAAUGCCAGUGAUGCACCUCCCUCAGUGUUCCAUCUUUGGGGUGUUACAUACUCCCAGUCCUGGGAAGGUUCUCAGGAAAAGAGCAGGUGUGCUCAACACACAUGAUGAUACUCAGAACAACUUGCUUGCCUUACUGCUGCGCCCUUUUCCAGGCAAUACAACCUGUGCAUCCCAGGGCGAUUCAGAACCUGUAUGACAAGUAUUUUGGAUGUAGCUGGUGGUUCUGCCGCCUCUCGCUCCCAGGGUAGAGCGAGCACUGCUGCUCUUCUUGAUGACACAGAAAGUGCU
This is a long non-coding RNA of Chiroxiphia lanceolata (lance-tailed manakin), 877 nucleotides long. RefSeq lists it as uncharacterized. The record is from RefSeq and is a predicted model, not a curated record. NCBI's taxonomy places the organism in Eukaryota, Metazoa, Chordata, Aves, Passeriformes, Pipridae. The transcript is spliced from 3 exons.